This 1459-nucleotide ribosomal RNA is filed under the name uncultured organism. RNAcentral describes it as "SSU rRNA". It matches the Rfam family "Bacterial small subunit ribosomal RNA". The record is from RNAcentral.
GAUGAACGCUAUCUACAGGCUUAACACAUGCAAGUCGAGGGGCAGCAUUUCAGUUUGCUUGCAAACUGGAGAUGGCGACCGGCGCACGGGUGAGUAACACGUAUCCAACCUGCCGAUAACUCGGGGAUAGCCUUUCGAAAGAAAGAUUAAUACCCGAUGGUAUAAUCAGACCGCAUGGUCUUGUUAUUAAAGAAUUUCGGUUAUCGAUGGGGAUGCGUUCCAUUAGGCAGUUGGUGAGGUAACGGCUCACCAAACCUUCGAUGGAUAGGGGUUCUGAGAGGAAGGUCCCCCACAUUGGAACUGAGACACGGUCCAAACUCCUACGGGAGGCAGCAGUGAGGAAUAUUGGUCAAUGGGCGCAGGCCUGAACCAGCCAAGUAGCGUGAAGGAUGACUGCCCUAUGGGUUGUAAACUUCUUUUAUAUGGGAAUAAAGUUUUCCACGUGUGGAAUUUUGUAUGUACCAUAUGAAUAAGGAUCGGCUAACUCCGUGCCAGCAGCCGCGGUAAUACGGAGGAUCCGAGCGUUAUCCGGAUUUAUUGGGUUUAAAGGGAGCGUAGGUGGACAGUUAAGUCAGUUGUGAAAGUUUGCGGCUCAACCGUAAAAUUGCAGUUGAUACUGGCUGUCUUGAGUACAGUAGAGGUGGGCGGAAUUCGUGGUGUAGCGGUGAAAUGCUUAGAUAUCACGAAGAACUCCGAUUGCGAAGGCAGCUCACUGGACUGCAACUGACACUGAUGCUCGAAAGUGUGGGUAUCAAACAGGAUUAGAUACCCUGGUAGUCCACACAGUAAACGAUGAAUACUCGCUGUUUGCGAUAUACAGUAAGCGGCCAAGCGAAAGCAUUAAGUAUUCCACCUGGGGAGUACGCCGGCAACGGUGAAACUCAAAGGAAUUGACGGGGGCCCGCACAAGCGGAGGAACAUGUGGUUUAAUUCGAUGAUACGCGAGGAACCUUACCCGGGCUUAAAUUGCAUUUGAAUAUAUUGGAAACAGUAUAGCCGUAAGGCAAAUGUGAAGGUGCUGCAUGGUUGUCGUCAGCUCGUGCCGUGAGGUGUCGGCUUAAGUGCCAUAACGAGCGCAACCCUUAUCUUUAGUUACUAACAGGUCAUGCUGAGGACUCUAGAGAGACUGCCGUCGUAAGAUGUGAGGAAGGUGGGGAUGACGUCAAAUCAGCACGGCCCUUACGUCCGGGGCUACACACGUGUUACAAUGGGGGGUACAGAAGGCAGCUACCUGGUGACAGGAUGCUAAUCCCAAAAGCCUCUCUCAGUUCGGAUCGAAGUCUGCAACCCGACUUCGUGAAGCUGGAUUCGCUAGUAAUCGCGCAUCAGCCAUGGCGCGGUGAAUACGUUCCCGGGCCUUGUACACACCGCCCGUCAAGCCAUGAAAGCCGGGGGUACCUGAAGUACGUAACCGCAAGGAGCGUCCUAGGGUAAAACUGGUAAUUGGGGCUAAGUCAUA